AUGUGCGAGAGCACGAUGAGGGGAUCCCAAGUGCAGGCACGUAAGUGUCAGCUGUUUCUUAGUCUAAAAAACUGAGAGAGUAAGAGCUGGGUAAGACGGGUGCCAGCCGCCGCGGUAAUACCUGCAGCUCAAGUGGUGGCCGCUAUUAUUGGGCCUAAAACGUCCGUAGCCGGUUUAGUAAAUGCCUGGGUAAAUUGUGUAGCUUAACUAUACGAAUUCCGGGUAGACUGCUAAACUUGGGACCGGGAGAGGCUAGAGGUACUCCUGGGGUAGAGGUGAAAUUCUGUAAUCCUAGGGGGACCACCAGUGGCGAAGGCGUCUAGCUAGAACGGGUCUGACGGUGAGGGACGAAGCCCUGGGGCGCAAACCGGAUUAGAUACCCGGGUAGUCCAGGGUGUAAACGCUGCUUGCUUGAUGUUAGUUGGGCUCCGAGCCCAACUAGUGUCGGAGAGAAGUUGUUAAGCAAGCUGCCUGGGAAGUACGGUCGCAAGACUG
Molecule: ribosomal RNA, 495 nt
Filed under: uncultured archaeon
Lineage: Archaea
Description: bacterial SSU rRNA
Rfam family: Archaeal small subunit ribosomal RNA
Source: RNAcentral